Nicotiana attenuata is the source of this 1557-nucleotide long non-coding RNA. RefSeq lists it as uncharacterized. The transcript has 3 exons. Lineage: Eukaryota; Viridiplantae; Streptophyta; Magnoliopsida; Solanales; Solanaceae. The record is from RefSeq and is a predicted model, not a curated record.
UUUCUCCUAAUCUGGGCUUCACUCUUUCAGUCAAGCUCUUCAUUUGGUGAUUUUUUUCUGCAAAUUGCAAUCUCUCUCUUUUUCUUCACUCUUUCGAUGUUUGUCCAUCUUUGUUCUAUAUAUCAUCUGGUUGGACCUCUCUGUUUUGGAAAUCUUUUUUUUAUUUUAUUGCAGUUCCUUUAUUGGUAAUUUGGACGAUUUGGUGGACAUAUAAUAGUUUCUAUUCUUAUGAAGAAAUUUAUAGCAAGAAAUUGUUCAUGCAUGUGACUAAUUGUACCUAAUUUCAUUUACCUUAUAUUUUUAUUAAAGGAUCUGGUAAUUUGACCUAGGGAUUGAACAGGUUGAUAAAGGUUCAAUUCAUGAUGGAACUGGUCUGGUUACUUUCUCUUUGAAGAAUCAACGUGUUUUUAUUUCGACCUUUCAAAGUUAUCCGUGUUCUUGCCCAGUUAUUAUUUUAUGCGCAAAUUUUGUGCAUAAUUUCCAAACAAGGGAGUGGAGUGGGAGAGUUUGGAAGAGAAGAGCAUAUGACGUUUUUUGCGGCAGUAUAAAAAGGGCCUUUCAGGCUCAAGAAGAUUUGUGGCUUAAAGCCAAUUUUUAAUUAGGGGCCUUUCAGAAAGAAAAAAACAAUUCAUGUGCCGGAAAAUGAAUGCAAUUUUAACAACAGCCAGCAACUUACGGACAAAGCAUUUACUACUACUACUAAGUUUGAAGAUUUCCUUCACUCCUCAGAUGCAUUGCUGUCCAUUGGCUGGAGAGAGCAAAGCUGUCGACAACAGCACAUUGUGACUUAUUUCUUUGCUCUCUCUCUCUCUCUCUCCAAACGAAGAAAUGUCAUCUUAUGAACUGCUUCCCUCUGCAACACAUAGUGGAGUAAUUAAUUUCAAAUAAAUGAUUCUUUGUUUCUCUCUCCAAUAUUCAAUGCAAUUCACCAGUUCGACAUGGUUAGCUUAGCGUUCCUUGUGACGGAAAAUAAUGUGUUUAAUAUACGUGUGUCCUCCAUUGAAAUCGUUCCUAUGGAGUUUGGUUUCAAAAAUCAAAUAAUGCUCCACCCGUUUUUAUAAGGGGAAGCUGCUGUACUAAAUUCUCAUUAGGGACACAUUGGAUUUACCGCACACACUCUUACUUUGCAAAAGAUUAUUUCACGAUUCGAACCUGCGACAUUUUGAUCAGAUACACGGCAGCUAUUUUUACUGUUAGACCAAUUUUAGGCCAUUUUCUCUUAACGGGUAACAUGCUAGGAGGCAGAGGUGGAGCUACUUAUUCUCUAAUCCAUAUUUUAUUUUUCUUUUCAAGAUUUUCAUUCAAACUAAUAAUGAGAUUUCGAGUAUCUAUCUCCUUAUCCAUACCUUAUUUCCUUUUUUUCUUAUAAUCUCAUGCAAGAUUAUCCGGGUGAACCAAGUAAUUUCAACACCCGGUUCACCGCACAUAAUUUCAUAAACUUCUUUCUUAUAAAAUUCCUUUGAAUAUAAAGUUCUUCCAUUAAAAUCUACGAAUUUAUUGAUUCAGAUGGGUCGGGUUGGGUCGACUCUCAUAAUUGGGUUAAUAUUUGUUGGAUGA